UUUCCGUAGGUGAACCUGCGGAAGGAUCAUUAUUGUAUAACCGAGGUGCGAGGGCUGUCGCUGACCCGAAAGGUCGUGCACGCCCGAGUGCCCGCACACACAUCCAUCUCACCCCUAUGUGCACCACCGCGUGGGUCCCCCUUUGGCUUGUUCGGAGGGGGGCUUACGUUUUCACACAAACUUUGUAUGCAGUGUAGAAUGUACUUUUUGUUUUUGCGAUCACGCAAUCAAUACAACUUUCAACAACGGAUCUCUUGGCUCUC
Molecule: unclassified non-coding RNA, 263 nt
Filed under: plant metagenome
Description: partial contains small subunit ribosomal RNA, internal transcribed spacer 1, and 5.8S ribosomal RNA
Source: RNAcentral